Molecule: non-coding RNA, 1989 nt
Organism: Pantherophis guttatus
Lineage: Eukaryota; Metazoa; Chordata; Lepidosauria; Squamata; Colubridae
Source: RefSeq, a predicted model, not a curated record
AUUAGAAUGUUGUUGUUGUUGUGUGUGCGCUUAUCUACAUAUACCCAGCUAGUUUAGAGACAUAAUACCAUACAACUUUUGGCAAUAAAGUUUCAGCCAAUAGAAACUUCUGGCUCAACGAUUCCAACCCUUUAGGAAGUCUUUGACCGAGGAGCAUUCGGGCGAAUGCUCAACGGAUGGAGAAUGGAGCCGGAAGCCCUGCCGUGUUGCAGUUUGAAGCACCCGUGGGUGUGUGCAGAGAUUAAUCCACUCCGUCGGGAGAAAGAGCGCCUGUUUGGUGGAUAGGAGAGUCUCGGGGCCUCUUGGUAGAGACCCCUACGACCAAGCAACGAUUGCCAAGGAGGAGGUGAAAGAAGAGGAGCCCCACUUAAGUCAUUAACUAGCUUUCAGCGUUUCAGAGCUGAGGUUUCAGGCCCAAGCCAGGGAUGGAGCGUUUCUGGCAAAGGCAGGAAGCUCUCACUAGUCCAAGAGAAAGAGCACAUUCUUUGCCCGUGCGGGACCCCGACUCCAUUCCUCUGGGCACGGCUGGUGACACGUUGGAAAAUCUUCCUGGGAUUUAUCUUUCACCGGGGUUUGUUUAAGGAGCACCGAUAGCAACCGCUAGGUUUUCCAAGGCGUAGCAGGCAGAAUAACUCCCAGGAUGCCCGAAAGCCGCUCGGUAUCAGGUCUGCUCGUCGGUCCAUCCGUCCCACGACUAUCGGCACGGACCGGCUGCAGGGCUCUGAACAUCCGUUCAAGCAGAGGGGUUUUUCCCAGCCCUUCCCUGGAAACGCAGGGGUGAACCCGGACCUUUUGCACGCAAAGCAACAGCUCGAACUCGGACUGCGGCCAUCCGUCAGGAGACAAGCAACCUGCUUGCAAAUAGCACUCCUAAGUAAACCAAAAAAUUAAUCUUCCACGUUUGACAUAGAGAAGAAACAAACACGGUUGAGUCGGGGAAUUAUAAAAUUAUUCUCGCUUAACGUUACAUACUUUUAUAAGCAUCUGGUUAAAACAAUCCAAUUUGGCCAAAGUAUUUAGAUGUAAAUACUUUAUUGCAAAGAGAAGGAAUUAAGCGCACGUUAUUUAUAAUUUAUAAUUUAUAAUUAUAUUCAGACCUAGGAAAAACAUUCCACUUGCAUUUCUCAUGACUUAAUUUUAGAAUUCACCAAUAGCUCUUCAUUAAAGGGGAAGAUAUCGUCUAAGUAUUGUCCUCUGGGAUAAAAAAAAGUACGUUACCAUGUUUUCUUCGGGAAUAGGGUGAAAUUGAGGGUGGGGAGCGAUAUUAAAACUAGAAAUCGAUCACGAUCUGAGAUGAUACCCCUCGUAAGCGCUGAUGAGAGCGCGACUUGGCCUUUGCUGUCUGCGACGGUUUAUACAGCCCACUCCCAAACGCUACUUCUGCAAAAGGAAGUCUAGCCUCUGUAGCAGCCGUGUCUUUUCAGCCUCUCUCCAGGAAAGAGAGCUGGGGCAAAACAGAGGAAACAGUUAACACGAAGGUGGGCGCCCAGGGCCCCCUCGGUCAAGAAAACUUGGAACUCAUCUCACGAGGUCACGUGGGAAACAUCUAGCCUGCUACGCUCUGAAUUGAGAUCCACGUUUGGGUCAAGGGUUUUUGGGAAAACCUUUUCUCCUUCCGAAAAUUGUUUUCUUACUUUGUAGAAACAGGCAACUAUACCUGUAAAUUCUGUGGCAAGCAGUACAAGUACUCCACGCCAUCCCAGGAACACGUGGCCCUUCACGCACCAAUCCGUGAGUAUCCAGCUGUAACACAGCAACCGGGGAGACCCCGGGAUCUAGGAUCUUUCAAGGCAGAGGCCAAUCGCACCUCUAAAGCGAUCACGAGGGACAGAGCAGUACCGGCAUAUCUCCCUGAUAGCUGUCCUUUGGGGAUAUACUUUGAGAGAAGGAGUUGUUCCUAUUUCAGGGCAAAUAGUCAGGCCAGAUUGCCUAUCAUUGUUAAUACUAUAUUAAACCGUAAAUAAAAUUAUACCUGUAUUUUGCAGUUUA